This 755-nucleotide ribosomal RNA is filed under the name uncultured bacterium. RNAcentral's name for it is "bacterial SSU rRNA". It matches the Rfam family "Bacterial small subunit ribosomal RNA", at positions 690 to 1463 of the family's 1533-position model. The record is from RNAcentral.
GUAGAUACACAGAGGAAUACCAAAAGCGAAGGCAGCGUACUGGGAAGUCACUGACGCUCAGGGACGAAAGCGUGGGUAGCGAACGGGAUUAGAUACCCCGGUAGUCCACGCCGUAAACGAUGGAUACUAGUUGUUGGAGGACUCGACCCCUCCAGUGACGUCGCUAACGCAUUAAGUAUCCCGCCUGGGGAGUACGGUCGCAAGAUUAAAACUCAAAGGAAUAGACGGGGACCCACACAAGCGGUGGAGCAUGUGGUUUAAUUCGACGAUAAGCGAGGAACCUUACCUGGACUUGACAUCCCGAGAAUUUCCCUGAAAAGGGAAAGUGCCGCAAGGAACUCGGUGACAGGUGCUGCAUGGUUGUCGUCAGCUCGUGCCUUGAGGUGUUCGGUUAAGUCCGUGAACGAGCGCAACCCUUGUCCUGUGUUGUAUUUUCACAGGAGACUGCCGGCUUUAAGUCGGAGGAAGGUAAGGAUGACGUCAAAUCAGCAUGGCCCUUAUGUCCAGGGCUACACACGUGCUACAAUGGCAGGUACAAUAGGCAGCAAACCCGCGAGGGGGAGCCAAUCCUCAAAAACCUGUCCUAAGUUCGAAUUGAUGGCUGCAACUCGCCAUCAUGAAGUUGGAAUCGCUAGUAACCGCGUAUCAGCAAUGACGCGGUGAAUAUGUUCCUGGGUCUUGUACUCACCGCCCGUCACGUCAUGAAAGGUGGAGGCACCCGAAGUACCGUUAUCAUUUAUGAGCGGUCCUAAGGU